Molecule: transfer RNA, 76 nt
Filed under: Aquifex pyrophilus
Lineage: Bacteria; Pseudomonadati; Aquificota; Aquificia; Aquificales; Aquificaceae
Also listed under: 5 other names
Description: tRNA-Met
Rfam family: tRNA
About the family: Transfer RNA (tRNA) molecules are approximately 80 nucleotides in length. Their secondary structure includes four short double-helical elements and three loops (D, anti-codon, and T loops).
Source: RNAcentral
GGGCGCGUAGCUCAAUUGGCAGAGCGGGCGGCUCAUAACCGCCCGGUUGGGGGUUCGAGUCCUCCCGCGCCCACCA